Molecule: ribosomal RNA, 210 nt
Filed under: uncultured bacterium
Lineage: Bacteria
Description: partial 16S ribosomal RNA
Rfam family: Bacterial small subunit ribosomal RNA
Source: RNAcentral
UCGGAUUGUAGUCUGCAACUCGACUACAUGAAGCUGGAANCGCUAGUAAUCGCGAAUCAGAAUGUCGCGGUGAAUACGUUCCCGGGUCUUGUACACACCGCCCGUCACACCAUGGGAGUCAGUAACGCCCGAAGCCGGUGACCCAACCAGUUCAGGAGGGAGCCGUCGAAGGUGGGACCGAUAACUGGGGUGAAGUCGUAACAAGGUACC